UUCACAACAUUUAUCGCAUAUCCUUACACCCUUGCUGGAGAGAAGCCGACGCCGCCGAAGAUCGGAAACAACACUCACCGCAUCUCGCUUGAACCGCCAACACCUUCGUCGGAGUCGGAGAACCCUCAUACCCACUCUCGACACCACCAUCUCACUUCUCCGUUUUGAUAACAAGUCGCCGGAAAGAUCAAGACGUGCUGGAUGAUCGAAGAAGACGACCGGAAAAUAGUCGCGAGUUCACGUCGAUGGCCGUUUCGGUAUAUGUUUCUUACUCCUUUUGUUUCGCGUUCCAUCUUCUGUUGAUAUGUAUCAAAUCCCGACACUUUAUAACAAUUCAAAGAACCGAAUGUAUGAGUAUACGUAACAGUUAUGUAUGUUUUUUUUAAAACUUAAAAGAUGAUGGCCUUUUUCCUAUUUUGAUUCGGUAUAUUUUCUUAUAACCAGUUAUUCCUCAUGAUUACACUAAUAAAAAUUUUAUGUUCCUAACGUUAAUAAACACAUAAAUCAAUCUGAGAAUUUUGGUGUUAGACAUCAGUGUUUUGGUUGGGUGGUUAUAAUGAAAAAGAUGAUGAACAGUCAUGUUCUUUGCUUUCAAAAUGAGUUUUAUAAAACCACCCACAAAAUAUAUAUUUUAUCGUUGCAAUAUUUCCAGUUGUUAAUUUUAGUACAUGGUAUAUACACUGUCUAGUUAAUUAAUCUAUUUCUAGGAUUAUCAUUUUAUAAACUAACAAGUUCCACAUCGUAAACCUAUUUUGAGACUUAGUUUUUGGUUUAAGAAAAUAAGUCUUCAUCAUAUUAUAAACAAAUAUUUUAUACCAUUAUGUUGUUUUGAAAAUAAAUAAUUCUAAGAAGUUGUUUCGUAUAUAAAUAAUCAUAAAAAGUUAUUAAUAAGUUAAAUUAUAAUAUUUAUUCAAAUCGUAAACCAUAAAUAUUAGGGUUAUGUUUAACCUACAACUUUUAACGAGUUCGUCACGUGUUAUUUUAAAUAUCUAGGAAUAACCAUCUCGCUCGUUCUCUUGGAUUGUUCUCAAUUCUUUUCCUCGCACGUUAUUUCCAAGUAUUCGCAAUGCAACCAAUGAUGAGGAAGUCAAGAUUUGAAGAAAUGAAUAGGAUGGCCUAGAAACCCACUUUUGAAAUAAACUAUGUUUAAUGUUUGUUAUUUCCUUUUAUGACAAUGUAUGAAACUUUGCAAUUUUAAUAAAUGAAAUUUAAUUAU
Molecule: long non-coding RNA, 1216 nt
Filed under: Helianthus annuus (common sunflower)
Lineage: Eukaryota; Viridiplantae; Streptophyta; Magnoliopsida; Asterales; Asteraceae
Description: hypothetical non coding rna
Source: RNAcentral